GUGGGGAAUAUUCCGCAAUGGACGAAAGUCUGACGGAGCAACGCCGCGUGAGUGAUGAAGGUUUUCGGACUGUAAAGCUCUGUUGUUUAGGACGAAAGUGCCUGUUGCAAAUAGUUACAGGUAUUGACGGUACUGAACGAGGAAGCCACGGCUAACUACGUGCCAGCAGCCGCGGUAAUACGUAGGUGGCAAGCGUUGUCCGGAAUUAUUGGGCGUAAAGAGCAUGUAGGCGGGAAUCUAAGUCUGUUGUGAAAAUGCGGGGCUCAACCCCGUAUUGGGAUGGAAACUGGGUUUCUUGAGUGCAGGAGAGGAAAGGGGAAUUCCCAGUGUAGCGGUGAAAUGCGUAGAUAUUGGGAGGAACACCAGUGGCGAAGGCGCCUUUCUGGACUGUGUCUGACGCUGAGAUGCGAAAGCCAGGGUAGCGAACGGGAUUAGAUACCCGGGUAGUCC
RNAcentral lists this ribosomal RNA (450 nucleotides) under uncultured bacterium. Its description in RNAcentral is "partial 16S ribosomal RNA". It matches the Rfam family "Bacterial small subunit ribosomal RNA", at positions 354 to 796 of the family's 1533-position model. The record is from RNAcentral.